UACGGGAGGCAGCAGUGGGGAAUAUUGACAUCAUAUGGCCGAAAUCCUAAUUCCUGCACCACCGCCGUGACGUGAAGAAGGGUUUUCUGCCUCGUAAUACUCUGCUUCAUGUGAAGAAGCAACAAUCAGUAUUAACUGCCUCCUGAGCGUA
This 151-nucleotide ribosomal RNA is filed under the name uncultured bacterium. RNAcentral describes it as "partial 16S ribosomal RNA". The record is from RNAcentral.